UAAUAAGUGUUUUAUGGCACUUUUUAAAUCCAUAUCCACCUCGUGUGCAAUGUCAGUCGAUCUUCUUCAUGGAGAUCGACCAAACAUCAACCUUUAUUUUUUAACUCUUUGUCUGAAAAAUAUUAUGAAUAAACAAUUCAAAAUA
This 145-nucleotide unclassified non-coding RNA is filed under the name soil metagenome. RNAcentral describes it as "partial internal transcribed spacer 1". The record is from RNAcentral.